CCUACGGGAGGCAGCAGUGAGGAAUAUUGGUCAAUGGACGAGAGUCUGAACCAGCCAAGUAGCGUGAAGGAUGACUUCCCUAUGGGUUGUAAACUUCUUUUAUAUGGGAAUAAAAUGUUCCACGUGUGGGAUUUUGUAUGUACCAUAUGAAUAAGGAUCGGCUAACUCCGUGCCAGCAGCCGCGGUAAUACGGAGGAUCCGAGCGUUAUCCGGAUUUAUUGGGUUUAAAGGGAGCGUAGGUGGAUUGUUAAGUCAGUUGUGAAAGUUUGCGGCUCAACCGUAAAAUUGCAGUUGAAACUGGCAGUCGUGAGUACAGUAGAGGUGGGCGGAAUUCGUGGUGUAGCGGUGAAAUGCUUAGAUAUCACGAAGAACUCCGAUUGCGAAGGCAGCUCACUGGACUGCAACUGACACUGAGGCUCGAAAGUGUGGGUAUCAAACAGGAUUAGAUACCCCAGUAGUC
This 460-nucleotide ribosomal RNA is filed under the name uncultured bacterium. RNAcentral's name for it is "partial 16S ribosomal RNA". It matches the Rfam family "Bacterial small subunit ribosomal RNA", at positions 338 to 795 of the family's 1533-position model. The record is from RNAcentral.